This 622-nucleotide ribosomal RNA is filed under the name uncultured fungus. RNAcentral's name for it is "eukaryotic LSU rRNA". It matches the Rfam family "Eukaryotic large subunit ribosomal RNA", at positions 24 to 664 of the family's 3401-position model. The record is from RNAcentral. Lineage: Eukaryota; Fungi.
CCCGCUGAACUUAAGCAUAUCAAUAAGCGGAGGAAAAGAAACCAACAGGGAUUGCCCCAGUAACGGCGAGUGAAGCGGCAACAGCUCAAAUUUGAAAUCUGGCCCCUCCGGGUCCGAGUUGUAAUUUGUAGAGGAUGCUUUUGGUGAGGUGCCGCCCGAGUUCCCUGGAACGGGACGCCACAGAGGGUGAGAGCCCCGUCUGGCUGGCCACCGAGCCUCUGUAAAGCUCCUUCGACGAGUCGAGUAGUUUGGGAAUGCUGCUCAAAAUGGGAGGUAUAUGUCUUCUAAAGCUAAAUAUUGGCCAGAGACCGAUAGCGCACAAGUAGAGUGAUCGAAAGAUGAAAAGCACCUUGAAAAGAGGGUAAAACAGUACGUGAAAUUGUUGAAAGGGAAACGCUUGAAGUCAGUCGCGUCGGCCGGAACUCAGCCUUGCUUCUGCUCGGCGCACUUUCCGGCCCGACGGGCCAGCAUCGGUUUCGUGGGGCGGACACUGGUGGGGGGAAGGUGGUGGCCCCUGGCCGCGUUAUAGCCUCCCGUCGCGAACGCCCCGUGGGACCGAGGAAUCCGGCGUGAGCCUGGGAUGCUGGCGUAAUGGCUUUAAACGACCCGUCUUGAAACACGG